CAAGUAAACCGGGUGGCCGCCCCGGUGAACCCCGGUUCGUUCGGGGUGAAACCGGGGAGGAAAGUCCGAGCUCCCCCAGGCAGGGCGCUGGGUAAUACCCAGGAGGGGCGACCCUACGGAAAGUGCCACAGAAACAUACCGCCCCGGCUUCAGUCGGGGCAAGGGUGAAAUGGUGAGGUAAGGGCUCACCGGCGGUCAGGUGACUGGCCGGCCGUGUAAACCCCGUCCGGAGCAAGACCAAAUAGAGGGAAUCAGGGACGCCUGGCCCUUUCCCCGGGUUGGUCGCUUGACCCCGAUGGUAACAUCGGGGCUAGAGAGAUGGUCACCAUCCCGAUUUUAUCGGGACACAGAACUCGGCUUACAGGUUUACUUGGCUC
RNAcentral lists this RNase P RNA (377 nucleotides) under Chloroflexi bacterium RBG_16_56_11. RNAcentral's name for it is "RNase P RNA component class A". It matches the Rfam family "Bacterial RNase P class A". From Rfam's summary of the family: Ribonuclease P (RNase P) is a ubiquitous endoribonuclease, found in archaea, bacteria and eukarya as well as chloroplasts and mitochondria. Its best characterised activity is the generation of mature 5'-ends of tRNAs by cleaving the 5'-leader elements of precursor-tRNAs. Lineage: Bacteria; Bacillati; Chloroflexota. The record is from RNAcentral.